RNAcentral lists this long non-coding RNA (1598 nucleotides) under Elaeis guineensis (African oil palm). Its description in RNAcentral is "long non-coding RNA (EGUI_LNC076698)". Lineage: Eukaryota; Viridiplantae; Streptophyta; Magnoliopsida; Arecales; Arecaceae. The record is from RNAcentral.
CAAUGGAUUAGUUCGAUCCAAAACUUGAGAUAAUGGGUGUAGGCCAAAGAUUCAUGUGGUUGUUAAUGAAGUUGAAGUUACCAAAUUUGGAGGAGUCGGUAUUAAUUUAUGCCUGAUUGCUCCACAUAUAGUUCCUCGAACCGCAUUUUCUAAACGAACAAGAGCCAAUCCGAAUUGAUCCUGUAACAGGUCUGCUACAGAACGAAUAUGCUUAUUUUUCAAGUGAUUCAUAUCGUCAAGUGUACCCAUUCCAAAUUUCAUUCCGAUCAAAUGAUCCGCAGCAGCCAAUACAUCUCGUGGUAACAAAAAUGUAUUGUUCCAUGCGUUCACCAAGGGGCAUUCACGAUAGAAUCAUGGAAGCGUUUACCGAACCCGAGGUCUUUGAUCCUUUCUCUCUCAAGCCAUCAAAUAGAACUAUGGCUUUAGCAGUGAUGAUUGGGGUGGUCGUUUUCUCUCAGUCUGGCAUUGGGUUAAGAGAAAAAAAACUUGAGUGAGGAAGGGGCUGACAGUCACAGGCUCGUUCUUCUUAUGUUAUGGCGGGGAAACUCUCACUCGAAACAAAGAAACUCGGCUCGAGUAAGCAUCCUUCCCCGAGCCCAAAAAUAGCCCUUUUCUUUUUAGCUAGCUAGAAAACUAGCCGACUCUAUACACGAAUAUCUUCUUUCUUAUCCCACUCUGUCUCUCUUUUAUCGCUUACGCCUCAUACUUACCGAUCUUCUACCCAUAGGCGGAGCGAAGAAAUUGAUCUUUCUGCAGAAUUCAUCCCUUGAUGAUGAGCUGACAUGUGGCCGUGGCGGCUUCAAGAGGCACCUUUUAAGUUAUGAUAAUCCUUCCCGCCGUGAGCUCAUUCAGCAGCCAAUCUUUGAAAGCCCAGCAAUCUUCAAUCGAAUGGCUGAUGAGGCGAUGAUAUGGACAGUCAUUUUCAUUUUCAAUCUGUCCCACCUUAUCAGGUCUCUUGAUCUUCGGGAGGACAACCUUUCCUACCUUCAUAAGCUGUUGGAAGAGCCUCGCCACCAUAUCCCUUCGAAAAGGGUAGGGUUUGGUUUCUCUUGCCUCUCUUUGAUCGAAGGCCUUGGUUUCUUCACCCGAACCACGAGGUUCUCUUCGGCCUGGCCGACAGAUUUGGAUGGCAGAGCCGGGUCAAUCGAUAGACCAGUUUCGAAUAAGGCCGCUUUCAACCUAAUUUUCGCACUUUUCGCUUUAGUUAUAAAAUAUAUGUUCAUUUCACCUUCGGUGACUUUUCGUAAUAGUUAGGUUCAACAGUCGAUCAGAAGAGGUAUUUUCUCUCCCUCACUCCUUUCCUUUCGCUUAUGAGACUGAUCCACUGACCUUGCUUGCCUACUUCCGAGAUGAAACAAGUCAAAGGCGUAGAAGGACGAACUCAUAGCUACCAAUGCUUCAUCGCAACCAACUACCUUUGCUCCAGCUUCUUCUGCGGAUGCUGCUUCUCCUCUUUGCUUGACAACUGUCACUACUCUUUAGUGAGCUAACUUGGGAUAAAUGCAACAAGAUGAUGCUGAUUCAUUACUUUCUGUCGAUCUUCUUCAUACAAGUUGUUCAGAAAGUCUAAAGAGAAGACUGUGGGCGACUUCUCUUUG